AACGAACGCUGGCGGCAUGCCUAACACAUGCAAGUCGAACGAGACCUUCGGGUCUAGUGGCGCACGGGUGCGUAACGCGUGGGAACCUGCCCUUAGGUUCGGAAUAACUCCCCGAAAGGGGUGCUAAUACCGGAUAAUGUCUUCGGACCAAAGAUUUAUCGCCUUUGGAUGGGCCCGCGUUGGAUUAGCUAGUUGGUAGGGUAAAAGCCUACCAAGGCGACGAUCCAUAGCUGGUCUGAGAGGAUGAUCAGCCACACUGGGACUGAGACACGGCCCAGACUCCUACGGGAGGCAGCAGUGGGGAAUAGUGGACAAGGGGCGAAAGCCUGAUACAGCAAUGCCGCGUGAGUGAUGAAGGCCUUAGGGUUGUAAAGCUCUUUUACCCGGGAUGAUAAUGACAGUACCGGGAGAAUAAGCUCCGGCUAACUCCGUG
This 433-nucleotide ribosomal RNA is filed under the name uncultured bacterium. Its description in RNAcentral is "partial 16S ribosomal RNA". It matches the Rfam family "Bacterial small subunit ribosomal RNA", at positions 29 to 507 of the family's 1533-position model. The record is from RNAcentral.